UCCGAGGUAGCUCAGUGGUAGAGCAGGCGGCUGUUAACCGCCCGGUCGGGGGUUCGAAUCCCUCCCUCGGAGCCA
This 75-nucleotide transfer RNA is filed under the name Ferrovibrio xuzhouensis. RNAcentral describes it as "tRNA-Asn". It matches the Rfam family "tRNA". Rfam says of the family: Transfer RNA (tRNA) molecules are approximately 80 nucleotides in length. Their secondary structure includes four short double-helical elements and three loops (D, anti-codon, and T loops). Lineage: Bacteria; Pseudomonadati; Pseudomonadota; Alphaproteobacteria; Rhodospirillales; Rhodospirillaceae. RNAcentral also lists the same sequence under 7 other names. The record is from RNAcentral.